Molecule: ribosomal RNA, 468 nt
Filed under: uncultured bacterium
Lineage: Bacteria
Description: partial 16S ribosomal RNA
Rfam family: Bacterial small subunit ribosomal RNA
Source: RNAcentral
GACGAACGCUGGCGGCGUGCUUAACACAUGCAAGUCGAACGGAAAGGCCCUGCUUUUGUGGGGUGCUCGAGUGGCGAACGGGUGAGUAACACGUGAGUAACCUGCCCUUGACUUUGGGAUAACUUCAGGAAACUGGGGCUAAUACCGGAUAGGAGCUCCUGCUGCAUGGUGGGGGUUGGAAAGUUUCGGCGGUUGGGGAUGGACUCGCGGCUAAUCAGCUUGUUGGUGGGGUAGUUGCUUACCAAGGCUUUGACGGGUAGCCGGCCUGAGAGGGGGACCGGACACAUUGGGACUGAGAUACGGCGCAGACUCCUACGGGCGGCAGCAGUGGGGAAUAUUGCACAAAGAGCGGAAGCCUGAUGCAGCAACGCCGCGUGCGGGAUGACGGCCUUCGGGUUGUAAACCGCUUUCGCCUGUGACGAAGCGUGAGUGACGGUAAUGGGUAAAGAAGCACCGGCUAACUACUUG